GAAAAAUGGUAUUCUGAAAUGCUACUCUUCUGCUAUACUCGUAAGUACAUCAAAGUUGACUCACAGGCCUACAUGUACCUGGAAUAUAAAAUUUAUGGUGAAUUAUUCAGAGAAGAAACACCCAUCAAAGUGUUAAAACAAGAAGUGAUUCAGGCCAAAAUCUCCAGUGAGAAGGUAGUUCCUGCCAGUGUAGACCCUGCUGACACUGAAACAAUUCUCCAGUAUGAAAUCAAACAGAUACAG
RNAcentral lists this long non-coding RNA (243 nucleotides) under Homo sapiens (human). Its description in RNAcentral is "non-protein coding lnc-PCDH9-7:1". Lineage: Eukaryota; Metazoa; Chordata; Mammalia; Primates; Hominidae. The record is from RNAcentral.